AUUGAACGCUGGCGGCAUGCCUUACGCAUACAAGUCGAACGGUAACGCGGGGCAACCUGGCGACGAGUGGCGAACGGGUGAGUAAUGCAUCGGAACGUGCCCAGUAGUGGGGGAUAGCCCGGCGAAAGCCGGAUUAAUACCGCAUACGACCUACGGGUGAAAGGGGGGGAUCGCAAGACCUCUCGCUAUUGGAGCGGCCGAUGUCAGAUUAGGUAGUUGGUGGGGUAAAGGCCCACCAAGCCUUCGAUCUGUAGCUGGUCUGAGAGGACGACCAGCCACACUGGGACUGAGACACGGCCCAGACUCCUACGGGAGGCAGCAGUGGGGAAUAUUGCACAAUGGGCGCAAGCCUGAUGCAGCCAUGCCGCGUGUAUGAAGAAGGCCUUCGGGUUGUAAAGUACUUUCAGCGGGGAGGAAGGCGGUGAAGUUAAUAACUUCACCGAUUGACGUUACCCGCAGAAGAAGCACCGGCUAACUCCGUGCCAGCAGCCGCGGUAA
This 498-nucleotide ribosomal RNA is filed under the name uncultured bacterium. RNAcentral's name for it is "partial 16S ribosomal RNA". It matches the Rfam family "Bacterial small subunit ribosomal RNA", at positions 29 to 523 of the family's 1533-position model. The record is from RNAcentral.